Molecule: small nuclear RNA, 193 nt
Organism: Bufo bufo (common toad)
Lineage: Eukaryota; Metazoa; Chordata; Amphibia; Anura; Bufonidae
Product: U2 spliceosomal RNA
Exons: 1
Source: RefSeq, a predicted model, not a curated record
AUUUUUUUCCGUACGAUUCACUUGCUGGAUAAGAAAAAAAUCUGUUCUUAUCAGUUUAAUAUCUGAUACGUCCCCUAUCUGGGGACCAUAUAUUAAAUUGAUUUUUCGAACAGGGAGAUGGAAAAAGAGCUUGCUCUGUCCACUCCACGCAUUGACCUGGUAUUGCAGUACCUCCAGGAUCGGUGCAACCCUU